GUCUAUGGCCAUACCACCCUGAACGCGUCUGGUCUCGUCUGAUCUCGGAAGCUAAGCAGGGUCGGGCCUGGUUAGUACCUGGAUGGGAGAAUUAAAAUGUCUAUAGUAU
Molecule: ribosomal RNA, 109 nt
Organism: Ochotona princeps (American pika)
Lineage: Eukaryota; Metazoa; Chordata; Mammalia; Lagomorpha; Ochotonidae
Source: Ensembl